This 423-nucleotide ribosomal RNA is filed under the name uncultured bacterium. RNAcentral describes it as "bacterial SSU rRNA". It matches the Rfam family "Bacterial small subunit ribosomal RNA", at positions 207 to 622 of the family's 1533-position model. The record is from RNAcentral.
AAGACCUUGCGCUUUUGGAGCGGCCGAUGCCUGAUUAGCUUGUUGGUAAGGUAAAAGCUUACCAAGGCUUCGAUCAGUAGCUGGUCUGAGAGGACGGCCAGCCACACUGGGACUGAGACACGGCCCAGACUCCUACGGGAGGCAGCAGUGGGGAAUUUUGGACAAUGGGGGCAACCCUGAUCCAGCCAUGCCGCGUGAGUGAAGAAGGCCUUCGGGUUGUAAAGCUCUUUCAGCCGGAACGAAACUGUUACGGUUAAUACCCGUGAUUACUGACGGUACCGGAAGAAGAAGCACCGGCUAACUACGUGCCAGCAGCCGCGGUAAUACGUAGGGUGCGAGCGUUAAUCGGAAUUACUGGGCGUAAAGCGUGCGCAGGUGGUUUUGUAAGUCAGAUGUGAAAGCCCCGGGCUCAACCUGGGAACU